CCGUAGUAAGCAUUAAUAAUGUCUUUCAUCUUUGAGUGGCUCUACAAUGGCUUCAGCAGUGUGCUCCAGUUCCUAGGACUCUACAGGAAAUCUGGAAAACUUGUAUUCUUGGGUUUGGACAACGCGGGCAAAACCACUCUUCUUCACAUGCUCAAAGAUGGCCGACUGGGCCAGCACGUUCCAACGCUGCGUCCGACGUCGGAAGAGCUGACAGUUGCCGGGAUGACUUUUACAACUUUCGAUCUCGGUGGACAUGAGCAAGCACGUCGGGUUUGGAAAAAUUAUCUCCCAGCAAUUAAUGGGAUUGUCUUUCUGGUGGACUGUGCAGAUCGUUCGCGCCUCAUGGAAUCCAAAGUUGAGCUGGAUGCGUUAAUGACUGAUGAAACGAUAUCCGACGUGCCGAUCCUUAUCUUGGGUAACAAAAUUGACAGAACAGGUGCAGUCAGUGAAGAAAAACUCCGUGAGGUAUUUGGGCUUUAUGGACAGACCACAGGAAAGGGGAGCGUGACCCUGAAGGAGCUGAAUGCCCGCCCCACGGAAGUGUUCAUGUGCAGUGUGCUCAAGAGGCAAGGCUAUGGCGAGGGUUUCCGCUGGCUCUCCCAGUAUAUUGACUGAUGUUUGCACCGUGAAAAUAAAAGAGCUUUACUUCUCUGGUCUGAUCCUAUUCACAGCUUUCGAGUGAACUUUUCUAAUAGAACAAGGAAAGCUCUCCAACCAAGUCUGGCGUAGAGAAGCCAAGAGCCUUAGUCAGCUCUCCCAUCGCCCAGUGGUGACAUGUGCUCUUCUCCACACUGUUGGGAGGUAACGCUGCCCCGUGCGCAGGCGCAGGUCGGGAUCCCCGGACUUGGAAACUGGUAGAAUUUGCCGGCUAAAACUGUGUGCCAUCGUGGGGCAGCUGAAAAGAAAAACACGUCUCACCACUGUGGUUGAUUUCAAAGAAAGUGAUUGUGUUUUUUUUUAAAGAAAGUGUUAUUAAUGAAAUCGGUAUCUCUCUUAACUUUUUGAGUUCACAAUUUACUUGGUCUAGAGUUUUCUAUUCUUUUUUUUUUUUUUAACUGAUGAAUAGCGUUUAGAUACUUCAUAAAAUUAUGAACAGAUACACAUGGGAGGCCAUGGCUCAGGUGGGUGAACUGAACGCCUGCUGAGUUAGCAGGUGGGGGAGAGAAGCUCCCCUGAGCUCACCUAUCUCUAUGACUGCCUUGUAGUCAGUGGCAUCACUUUGUGCACAGAGAACUAAAAGGGGGCAGAACCCCGGCCGUGGAGUUGCGGCAGGUUUCCACUGUGGUAAGGUCAUCACAGAAUGUGUAGUAGAUAGUUCACUGUGGAGGAGUGAAUUAUAGAGUGGGUUAUUGUUAUCGUUUUUACUUAUAAAGUUAUAAAUUUG
RNA transcript from Propithecus coquereli (Coquerel's sifaka), 1384 nucleotides. It is a transcript of the gene named GTP-binding protein SAR1a pseudogene, with no coding region annotated. NCBI's taxonomy places the organism in Eukaryota, Metazoa, Chordata, Mammalia, Primates, Indriidae. The record is from RefSeq and is a predicted model, not a curated record. The transcript has a single exon.